AUACGGAGGGUCCGAGCGUUAUCCGGAAUCAUUGGGUUUAAAGGGUCCGUAGGCGGGAAUCUAAGUCAGUGGUGAAAUCUUGCAGCUCAACUGUAAAAUUGCCAUUGAUACUGGAUUUCUUGAAUUAGUGUGAAGUGGUUAGAAUGUGUAGUGUAGCGGUGAAAUGCAUAGAUAUUACACAGAAUACCAAUUGCGAAGGCAGAUCACUAACACUAUAUUGACGCUGAGGGACGAAAGCGUGGGGAGCGAACAGGAUUAGAAACCCUUGUAGUCC
This 274-nucleotide ribosomal RNA is filed under the name uncultured bacterium. RNAcentral's name for it is "partial 16S ribosomal RNA". It matches the Rfam family "Bacterial small subunit ribosomal RNA", at positions 523 to 796 of the family's 1533-position model. The record is from RNAcentral.